Molecule: ribosomal RNA, 432 nt
Filed under: uncultured bacterium
Lineage: Bacteria
Description: bacterial SSU rRNA
Rfam family: Bacterial small subunit ribosomal RNA
Source: RNAcentral
CCUACGGGGGGCAGCAGUGGGGAAUAUUGCACAAUGGAGGGAACUCUGAUGCAGCGACGCCGCGUGAGUGAAGAAGUAAUUCGUUAUGUAAAGCUCUAUCAGCAGGGAAGAAAGUGACGGUACCUGAAAAAGAAGCUCCGGCUAAAUACGUGCCAGCAGCCGCGGUAAUACGUAUGGAGCAAGCGUUAUCCGGAUUUACUGGGUGUAAAGGGAGAGUAGGUGGCAGAGCAAGUCCGAAGUGAAAACCCAAAGCUCAACUAUGGGAAUGCUUUAGAAACUGCUCAGCUAGAGUGCAGGAGAGGCAAGUGGAAUUCUUAGUGUAGCGGUGAAAUGCGUAGAUAUUAGGAGGAACACCAGUGGCGAAGGCGGCUUGCUGGACUGUAACUGACACUGAGGCUCGAAAGCGUGGGGAGCAAACAGGAUUAGAUACCC